AUUAAUGUCCUCAGUGAAGGUCGGCAUUCAAACAGUCCGAUGCCUCAGCUCGGAUGGACGGAUCCUGUUUCUUCUCUCUGUGAGUAUCUGCCCUGUUUCUGAGGAGAUUCUCUCUGAAGGAGCAGAGCUUAUACCUGCAUGUGUGGGGAAGCCAGCAGAUGCUGCUGCAGCUGCUGGUUUUUGGGAUGAGCCACACCAGGAUCUGCAGAUGGUGUGCUAGCUUGCCCUCUGUCCUCUAACUGCACUGUAGGAUGGACAGUCCUCACAUGUCUCUGCAGGUUUGUGGUGGAACCUGCUCUGAAAGUCAAGUACCAAUAAGCAGCAGUAGGAGGUUUUGAGUAAAUACAGAUACAUAUUGCAGCGAAAUGGACUUUAUUUAGACUUUCAAAGCUAUUUUUAUAAAUGAGACAAGUCAAUGCACUUUUGUAAAUUACGUGUGUUUUGAUAAGAAAUAAGAGACGCAAUUUGGGAAAAGA
Molecule: long non-coding RNA, 476 nt
Organism: Siniperca chuatsi (mandarin fish)
Lineage: Eukaryota; Metazoa; Chordata; Actinopteri; Centrarchiformes; Sinipercidae
Exons: 2
Source: RefSeq, a predicted model, not a curated record